Gallus gallus (chicken) is the source of this 1954-nucleotide long non-coding RNA. The record is from Ensembl. NCBI's taxonomy places the organism in Eukaryota, Metazoa, Chordata, Aves, Galliformes, Phasianidae.
ACCCCUCUCUAAGCCUCAUUUAAGUGCUGGCUGCCACGGGGGAAGGCUCUGUACCUUUUGGAGUGUUCUGUGAGUCCCGCUCCUUGGGACAGAGGUAUAGUCUGUGUGACUGGUCUGAGAUGGGCAAAUCAAGCUAUCCAUAGUACUGCUGGUCUGGAGGAGAAUUCAGAGCCGCUGCUGGGGACAAACUCUUGCAGCACGUGGAGGCAAUGUUUGUGGCAGGUAAUGAUGGAGCAGCUUGAACACUGAGGAGCAUGAAGACAGCAGCCUGCCUUCAGCAAGUGAUUGCUGCCCAGUCACAAAACCAGAGGUCACUGGAGGGAUGCCCAGAGUAAAAGACCUCCGAAUCUGCUCUCAACCAAGGGGAAGUGAAUUGGUCUCCUUGUUCCUGUGGCAGCCAUGGACCCCUAUGAUUGGGUGGUCCUCUAGAGGCACUGACACUGAGCCUGAAGGGAAGCUCCCAUCUCUGAUCCAUGAGUGCCUCCAGCCUGGCAGGACCUGGCUCUUCUGGUAGGUGGCUUUAUGGUAUUCUUAUUAAGUUACUAGACGAAAUGUGUUGCAUUACUAUGUUUCAAGUUCAUUUUUCUACACAGAAUCCCACCAAAAGUAGGAGUGGAGGGCAAGAAAGCCCACUAAAGUACUGAUAUGGUCUGGUAUAGACAAGAAACACCAUAAUUUCAUAGGCAUCGCUGGUGCAAUGCUAAUAGAGUAAGAGUAGAUCCCAAUAAUUAGAAAAUCUUCUCUUGUUGGAUAUUUUGUGAAAGUGCUUCUGUGGCUGUAGUUUGGUGGUUGUCACAGCACAUCUCAAUAAGUUUGUUCAGUCUUUAAGGGUAAAGCCAUCACCACUGAAUAAUCCCCUCCUUUAGGCACAAGGCUUCGUGAAAAAUAUGAUUCCUAGUGAUGCCUCCUAAGACAUGUAAUUAAAGUGGUGAUCUCUCAGUGUCCACUUUGCCAGACAAUGUCAAUUUUGUAACAGUUAUGAUACCUUAUGACUCUGCUAUGAGUCAUUUGGAACAGGCCUUUAUUAGAAGACCCUCAAAAAGUUUUAGUUCUGACUAUGAUGCAGAUUAGCAGCAGUUCUUAGAAGCACUGGGAGCCUGGGACUGAGGGCACACUUCUGGGAGUCCUCUUUCCACGUGAAACAACUCUGAAAAUAAUGAAUGAGGGAAGAGAGAAGAAGAGAAGCCAGAGAUGAGCAGAGCAGCUUUGGGUGUACUUCAAACUCUUGUUAUUCAUGUUUUCUCUCACUUUGGAGAUUGUUUACCCUGAGAAUUCAGUGCUGUUACCAGCUUCUUUUAUCAGGACUUCAGCAAUACAGGCUGCUGGAAGAGCCAUUAAACCCAAGUUGUUAUUCUCCUUGCCUUUCAGCACAAAGUGCUGCCCGUAGCAAUGGCAAUAAUCCAGAAGAAUUGUACUCUUAAAGGGAAAGCAGGAAAGUCUCAGGAUAACAUGUGAGACUGGGUGGGUGGGCCCUGUGCUACUGAUGGGUGGCACUGGGGACUGUGCAUGUUCUGCAAGCAUCACUGAGAAAAGUGCUUGAGGAGUUGGGAUCCAUAAGAGAGCAGGACUGAGCACUUAUUGUCUUGAGCGUGGAUUCUGUAGUGGAGACAUCCAUAGCUCCAGAACACAAACUCAAAGCAAUGUCAGCUCGCUUUUUCAAAGAGAAGUGUGCUUCUAACCGAAUUAUACCGUGUCUUUCUUUCUGUCCAUUCCCAAGAUUAGUUCAUGUCAGGUUCUGGCAGCUCUGAUUGCUGCAUCAUCUCUGUGCUGUGAUUCAUUGCUCAGUGUGAGUCACAGAGCCUUGUAAGGAGAGGGAGCAUGCAAGCUGACUUCUGUGCAUCCAAAUGGCAGACAAAUGUUUGAAUUACAGAUCACAAUUAACUGCUAAUUGGCCAUAAUGUAAGCCCCUUCCAAAUGGACGUUGUAAAUAUUGAAAUAAACAGCUUGUUAUUUU